RNAcentral lists this long non-coding RNA (390 nucleotides) under Brachypodium distachyon (stiff brome). Its description in RNAcentral is "long non-coding RNA (BDIS_LNC003192)". The record is from RNAcentral. Lineage: Eukaryota; Viridiplantae; Streptophyta; Magnoliopsida; Poales; Poaceae.
AAGCUAUAUGUUUUUUUUACAGCACGGAGAAGCUAUCUGUUAAUAGACUGGCUCGACUACAUAUUGGGAUGUAUGAGACAGUUCUUUGAUUAUGUCUUUCUUCUAUCUCUAUCCUUUUUUUUUUGGUUCCAACCAUUUUGUAUCACAUUUUCCGUCCUUUCCUCAUGUUCGGUCUCUCUCCCUUUGAGCGGAGAAGAGUAAGGGUGUGUCUCCAUGGCGCGUUCUUUUAUAGUACACUGUACAUUAUUUUACUAAUGUAUGGUUGCUUAUGCCAACUACAUGAGCGAGACUUCUCUAGGUUUUUUGCGACUGAGCAAAGCACGUGCAAGGGAGAGAGAGAGAGAGAGAGAGAGCAUGUUUGACCGUAUUGUUUAUCUCAAUUCACAGUUU